This 75-nucleotide transfer RNA is filed under the name bacterium. Its description in RNAcentral is "tRNA-Gly". It matches the Rfam family "tRNA". From Rfam's summary of the family: Transfer RNA (tRNA) molecules are approximately 80 nucleotides in length. The record is from RNAcentral.
GCGGAGGUAACUCAAUGGUAGAGUUCCUGCCUUCCAAGCAGGUUGUUGCGAGUUCGAGUCUCGUCCUCCGCUCCA